GACGAACGCUGGCGGCGUGCUUAACACAUGCCAGUCGAACGGAAAGGCCCUGCUUUUGUGGGGUGCUCGAGUGGCGAACGGGUGAGUAACACGUGAGUAACCUGCCCUUGACUUUGGGAUAACUUCAGGAAACUGGGGCUAAUACCGGAUAGGAGCUCCUGCUGCAUGGUGGGGGUUGGAAAGUUUCGGCGGUUGGGGAUAGACUCGCGGCUUAUCAGCUUGUUGGUGGGGUAGUGGCUUACCAAGGCUUUGACGGGUAGCCGGCCUGCGAGGGUGACCGGACCAAUUGGGACUGAGCUAAGGCACAGACUCCUCCGGGAGGGAGCAGAGGGGAAUAUUGCAUAAUGCGCGGAAGCCUACUGCAGUCACGCCGCGUGCGGGAUGACGGCAUUGGGGUUGUAAACCGAUUUCGCCUGUGACGAAGAGUGAGUGACGGUAAUGGGUAAAGAAGCACCGGCUAACUACGUG
Molecule: ribosomal RNA, 468 nt
Filed under: uncultured bacterium
Lineage: Bacteria
Description: partial 16S ribosomal RNA
Rfam family: Bacterial small subunit ribosomal RNA
Source: RNAcentral